This 94-nucleotide small nuclear RNA is filed under the name Felis catus (domestic cat). Lineage: Eukaryota; Metazoa; Chordata; Mammalia; Carnivora; Felidae. The record is from RNAcentral.
GUGCUCCCUUUUGCAGCACAUAUACUAAAAGUACAAUUAUAUAGAGAAGAGUAGCAUGGCCUCGCACAAGGAACAUGAAGUGUUCCAUAUUAAA